Molecule: non-coding RNA, 19409 nt
Organism: Rattus norvegicus (Norway rat)
Lineage: Eukaryota; Metazoa; Chordata; Mammalia; Rodentia; Muridae
Source: RefSeq, a predicted model, not a curated record
UGUACGCAUGUCCCGUGUUAGCUCCUGUAUCCAGGGGUUAAAGUUAUCAUCUGCCCUAAGUGAACAGAUGCUGCUUACAGCUCAGCUUGUGAGAUAGGCCUUUAGCUCUUUACUCUGUGCUGACAUCUACGUUACAGUAUGUUUUCUGCAACAUACGAAUCUUGCACAUCAUCUUCAUGUAGAUGAAAAAAUAUGUAAGAAUGCCGAACAUAUACACUUAUUUUAUAGACCAUAAAAAUAAAAAGAACGAGGAUUUCAAAUCUAUGCUUGCUUCUCUGGACUUGAGAAAUUUGAAGUAUUUUCUGUAGUCAAAAAGAAUGUGUAUAUGUCUGGAACUUUUUCAACAAUUGCUCUUUACCCUAAUGUUUUCAGUGAGUUUUUACAGCAGUUUAGAAUCCCAUCAAAAUUGAGUGCUCUGUGUGUGUGUGUGUGUGUGUGUAGGUGUGUAGGUGUGUAGGUGUGUAGGAGUAGAUUCUGGUGUUGCGGACUUGAGUUUUCAGGCUUAUGCAGGUAAAUACUCAUAUUUGCAUCUGUUGGGUUGUAUCUUAAGACUUCAUUCUGUCUAUAAGAAACCUUCAUUUGGGUUUGCUGUGGCCUUCCUAUAAAUUCCAGCUCUUAGCAGGCUGAGGCAGGAGGAUUAUGAGUUUUAGGCUAUCCUGGGCUACAUGGAGAAAUCCUUUCCCUGCCAUCCUCAUCCUUACCACCUCUCAUUGGUGAGAGGAGGUGUGGUGGGGGACCCAUAAACUGUCUUCCAUCAUGGCUGCUUUACUAUUUUGCUUCCCUACAAUAAUUAGAGUGGGUGGGAUUGUGGUUCACACUUUCCCCGCAUUUAGUGUUGACCGGGCUUAAGUGUCAGCCAUUAUAAUCCCUUAAUGAGCGAGAGCACAGAGCUCCUUCCCGUGUGCGUUCCUUGAGAUAGUGUCUGUCUGUUCCUACUAUGCUUCCCCUUUCUAUAACUCGAGCUGCUAGUUGAGUUUCAAAGAUUUUUUUUGUAUGUUUAGGGCAGAAGCUGCUUUCUCAGUGGUGUCAUAUGUAAAUGUUUCCAAUGUGUUGCUGGCUUUUCUUCUGUGCUGUCCCUCCGUAAAAGCAACAACAGUAAACGGACACUUGCAAGUUCAGAAAGCAGGUAGUAAGUGUGCCCUCCUGGGACUAGAGAGGAAAUCCUCCUAAACAGUUAAACAACUUCCGGUGUCUGUGUUUACAGUUUUACCUUUACCGAGACCAAACUGGAGGUUAGCUUGGUAGGGUUUUGGCGCUAUGCUGUCCUUGUAAUAUGUAGGCAUGCAAGGUAUAUUUCUGCGUAGUAAUGAGGGUAUCUGCCUUCCUCAAACAAGUCUGAUAAGGCUCUUCUGUGUAAUCCAAGAAAGUCCUCCCGUUCGUUACAUUAUGCAUUCUUCAAGAUGAUUCUGAGAAUAAAUAUGUCAAUAAAUUGAUCAGUGAAUGAAUAUUUUUGAGCACAGUUAGGAAAAUAAACGUUCGAGGCAAUGUGGGUGUGAUCCCACUGAGAGCUCCAUGAACUGUGGUCUGUGUUACGUGUGUGCGUCAGUGUAGAUUGGGCUCCAACUACAUGUUAAGGGUUGCCAUUGAGUCUGACGGGCCGCGUAUGCAGCAGGCAUGCCGGAUUCCUGAACACCCGGGUAGGGAUGUAAGCUGUGAGCAGAGCUGCCUGACUGAGUCUGCAGUUUUACUUCUUCCCCUACGAAGGUCCAGGUGAUUACUGACAGAAAGUAGAUAAUAGAGAUGGCGGUUCUUCGCCACACCAUGGCCACGAGUCUCCAUAGAUCCAUUCUGAACGUAAACAUCGCUAACUCGGAUGAACGCUGUGUGGAGACUGCUGUAACCACACAGCUGGAUAGGAACUGACGUAUGCUGCUGACCCCUGUGAGGGAGGAACUGCCUCUCUCUAGCCCAAGAAAUGGUAAAAAUUUGAGUCUUCCCAAUGUAUAUUCCUUUUGAAGAAAAUCCUUAAUUGACCAUCAUAGAUCAAGGAGAACCUUCUUUAGAUACAAGGCACCUAACUAUUGGCAUCAUAUUUUUAAAAUUUGGAAAUUCAUGACAGCUCUGUGAACCUUGCCGUGUGUGCGUGCGUGCGUGCGUGCGUGCGCGCGUGUGUGUGUGUGUGUGUGUGUGUGUUUGUGUGUGUGUGUGUGUGUACACAGCAGUUCUUCUCAUUGUGACCCACCACCUCUGCAGUCCCUCAGUUCUCCGGCACUGCUCUAUCCAGAGGUUCCCAUUAUUUAGAAUGUGGUAGGUCUACUGAAGGACACCUCACGUCACAUAGUUUAGUAUUAGUACUACUUUUACAUUUCAUGGAAGAAAACCCUUGAUCUUUCUAUUCAUGACUUCCCCCUCUGUCUCCUGCUUCUUCUCCUCUGGGACACAGGAUACAUAAUGAAGCUUCUAACUUGAUUAGCAGAUCACCUAGAAGAAUACCGAGAUUCCUAUGUGCGUGCAGUCAUUCCACACACAAUGAAAACAUCAGAGGGUAUGAGGGCAGGGACAGAAAAAUGCAGCACUGCUUCCUACAGUUGUCUGUGCUUUAGGAAUAUGUGUCCUUGGGGGGAUGGAUGGGGAUUGGGAUGUAUUGGUAUAUUUUAACUAACAGGCCAUACAGCUAGGUUUUCACGUGCGGAUAGAGGCUUGCUAGGUCUUUUUGAGAAACUAGAGGGCAUCGCCAAAGCUUUAAAAGAGCUCUGUCAGGACGAUCCCUUUUUUAAUUGUUAAGGAAUUAAUAUUAAGGACCCGAGACAAAAUCCCAGUUGCAUAAAUAGUGCUUGAUAAGCUACUACCCUUUAAAGCCCAGAUCCUAGAUGAGGCAUGUAAGAUCGGAAAUCUAGCCUGUAAGCAGGGCUACUGUUGAGCAUUUCCCUUUAUUUGUAACCUGGGUUCUUCCAGUUGAGCACCUAUAACAGAAAAUCUGGAUCAUAGCCUUGUAUUACCAACAUGGCGGCACAAGCAGAAAAUGCUACCUCAAGGCUUUGUGACAGAGGUGCAGCAAAGCACCCGCUCUACUGAAAACACCAGCCUCACCUCCUGUCUGCGUAACAAGGAGCGCCGUGUCUCUCUCUCUGUCCUGUCUUCCCCGGUAAUUUACUACAUAGACUAUGCACGCCUUCCAUACCAACGUUAGAGACAUGUUUGCUUCCUGUUCCCUCAGACGAGAGACCCUUCACAUAGGAGAACGUUCUGCCCGUGGUCUCUCACAGUGGGGAGCUGUCCGUGCCUUGGAUGUACCAUGACACAUAACUGUUUCUCCAUUGCUCUUACUGGUCCACCUCAGUCAUGAAGGGCAGCAUCUGGAAGCAGGCCAGAGAGGAGCAGAAAGUGCGGAAGCUGGUGUGGACGGUUAGCUGUUUUCAGUAGACUGUUGAAACAGCAAAGAUGGUGGGAGUCAGUGCAAAGAGGCUGUUUGGCAGGUCUGGCUUCAGGGCUUGGACAGUGCUACUGUAAGACAUGUACACACACACACACACACACACACACACACACACACACACACACACAGCAGAUGCUUACUACAAGUGUUCUUCUAUAGGUGAGCUUCCUUUUCGAUGUAAGAGCACACAUCCUUCCAGUGAGUCUAAGUGCAAGAGGACUCCAUGUCUGCUUGCUGCAGUAUUUUUUUUUUAAAGUUAAAUUCUGGAAAUACAUGUUAUAGGCCCAUUAUCAGAUCCCCAAAUGGGGUAUGGGGCUUUGGCCUAAAUAAAGAAAAUUCCGAAUAUAGGAGCUGAAACCCCGCUUUUAAAUGAUAGUAUGCUCGGGGCUGGUUGGCUUGUAAUGUUUUAAUCAGCACUAUGACAAUUCGAACAUAAUAAACACUGUAUUGGAGAGAGGAAGGCAAGGUUGAAGUUACUUGAAAAACAUUUCGUAGCGGAAGCACGUAAGUACCCUAUUCAUUGUAUGUCGCCAUGAAAAGCCUAAGGAAGUCCGUCCUGUUUGAGUGGUGUAGCUGGAAGGAACCGUAGGAAAGGCCCGGAGGGAGGAAGUGGUUUUGUAGCUGUCCUGCACAUAUAAUAAUAAUUGUCGUGCACAUAUAACCACCCGAUUCUGACCACACAAGACCUCGAGUAGAUUAGUGAAUCUUUCUAUGUAUAGGCCCUCAGAAAUCCAAAGAGAAACAUUAAUAUUUCUUUGACAUAGAAACUUUCUCUUUCGGAAAGCUCAAGUAGGAAUACUGCAUAUUCUCCAUCAACCUACAGCCCCCUUCCUGCAUCCGGUGAGGGACACGGGGUAUCUCGUGCAGUGUGGUGACUGCUGUGCAGGUCAAGCCUUCGUUUCUGUUCUCCCCGUCACCACCUCAUUCCGUAAGAGUGAGCUAACCAGGUUUGCGUUCCAGAUGGCGAGGCUGAGACUAUUGUUACUCUACUCCCUAUGAACUGCGUCAUUUAGAGGGAAGAGUUGCUGUGUCUGUAACAGGUAGUAGCAUUUUCUCUGUGUCCCUUACUCAGAAUCGAAAGUACGUAAAAAAACAAAUCUCAGAUACCGGAGUUUGAAGGAUUCGCCCCAGUUUUCCUGGUUAAAUAUCCCUAAUUCAAAAAGCACCCAAGUCCAACUUCAUAUUUGAAAUAUUGCAAGUUUCCCAAUGAGUGAUACUUAAACCGAGUGCUUGUCUUUAAAGUAUUCUCAGUAUUCCAUCUUCAAAAUGUUGAAUUCAUCCCUCUUCUCAAAAAUAUUUAUUCACACUUGGAGAUUCUUAGAUGGUCACCAUUACAGAUAAUGGUGGGUUUUAACACUGUUUGAAGGUUAUCGUGGGGACACCUUCACAUGACGCAGUCGCAAUUCUUUCAUGUCAGUAACUAAAGUGAUCUCGGCUCUCACCCUGGAACUUUGAUUAAUAAACAAGUUUGAAGUUCGCUGAGAGUUCUGAGUGCAGCUUCGUCGUGGCCCAAACCUCAAAGUGUAACACUGUGUCUGAAUGACAUCAGGUAAGGCUGAAGGCAGGAAGACCGCUCUGUUCUCACACCGCUGCCUGAAGGACUGAUAGCCAGGAACACUCCCUUCUAGUAGCCCUCCCUGGCUGUAGCGUUCUCUUUUAGAAGAGGUGUUGAACACCAGGCUGUUCCCCAAGGUGGGGAGGAGGCCUUCAUUCGUCUUCACUGCUAGUCAUCGCCCUUGCUGACUCAGCUGUCCUGUGCACAGCGCCUUCCGUCCACUGCUGCACGCACGUUCUCCCUAUGGGGUUAUAAAAGUGGCAGUCCGAUAUCCUUUGCUUCCCCCCUUUUAAGUAUUGUGAGCCUUUGAGAAGGCUGGGAUUACUUGGCAAGAGGGUAAAACCACCAGUUAUAUGUUGAAUGAUUAAUUCCUUAGCGAAAUUUGUUUUUACAUAGUGAGAUAUCUUUCUGGUUUUGCUUGUUUGUUUGUUUGUUUGUUUGUUUUCUUUUCUGGGACAGGGUUUGGCUGUGUACCCCUUGCUAGCCCCCCAAAAUCACCAGUCUUAUUCCCCCAGGCCCCAUAUGUUCUAGAAUUACAGUCACAUCUGGCGGUGAAAUUUUAUCCUGUAAUAAUGAUGGAGGUCCAUUCUAUUAUUUAAAGUUGAUGAACUUAUUUUCAAAUAUACUAAUAGAUACCCAUAAUAUAUAAAGUAUUUAAACAAAGGAUAAUAUGAUAAUCUGUAUGGAUGUGCGCGCGCGCGCGCACACACACACACACACACACACACACACACACACACACACACACACACACUCUCAUUCCACAUAGAGAACAUUGCUGUAAGAAGUGGUAAAUAUCAAAGCUCAGACGUUUGCCAGAAGGAUCCAUUAAAAUGCAGCCACAGUUCUGGCAGACUUCAUGAUUAUAGAUUUCUGUUGGUGUGUAGUCUCCUUGACAUACAAACCUCUCAGCCUUCAUAUCGAUCAAUCAGUCUUCGUAAAGAAGCCCCGUGUCCAUGCCAGAGCUCUCGGAAGUUUUUUCCCCCUUUUCUUUAAUUUAAUUAGUACACAUUUACUGAUCUCUCUUUACAGGCAACAAUAAUGUUUACCCAUACCUUUCGCCGACCCGAGCUCCCUUUCAUGCUAAUAGUAUUUUCAGAGCAACAAACUUAGCUCAGUCUGGUUUCCAUCUGAGGCGAUGUUUCGUGGGACUGGGGAGUUGCUGUAAGUGCUCCUAACUGAGGCUACUUAGUAUACACAUCCCGUCCCACAGGAUCCAAGCAGUCAGCUUCUGAGAAAAUUCAUCCCAUGUUCUGUGUACCCCAAGUGCUUACCCAUCUGUGGUGCCAGGUUUCUCAGCCAUUGGUCCGUUGGGAUGGACUACUGUUCUAGGGUCUAUUGACUCAGUGUUUCUAUGCAAAAUAGACUGAGGUUGAUUUCGGUGUCCUGGUGGUGGGUUUCACCAAUUCUCCAGCCCUUGACUGAGUUUGUUUAUAGACAGCAACUUGGAAUUACUUCUUUGGCUACGGGUUUUUAAGUUGCUUGCAUAGGUUCUUGAAUCUUACAACAGCAUAUACAACUAUUAUAGCUCCGAUUGGCAUGUCUAAUUGGACACCUGCUUUGCAUGCUACUGAUGAGCAUGUAAACUGUAGGUCUCCUCUUAAACCAUACUAAACAUUCACAGUCGCUCUGUGAGAAAGACCAAUGAAGUAACGUAUAGUCAAGCCACCUAAAUGUCCCGAAUGGUCCACCGAAAUGAAGGAAUGAGAAGAGGGCAAUAGGGUCACACCGGGGGUUCUUCCCUGCAGGGACCUGAAGGUUUCCUUGUAAAGUGAAAGCUUACAAGUUGUCUUACUAGGUUCUGUCCGUGGUUCACCCUAUCAUAUUGUGUUCCCUGUCUGGGCAGUGAGAUGUCGUUUUUCUCUGAGGACAAGGUGUCACCGCUCUUUGUAUGACCCAGAGGUCUCUGGGUGAAACUCAGACUUGCAUGCAUACCUGAAACCUUUGCGUUUACUUUGGAUCUUGGACAGAGUGUGUGACAAUAAAGAAAACUAGGUAUUUUUGGAGGGUGGGCCAUUGUUGUUUGGUUCAGUAUGUGUGAUACACAGGAAGCCUCCUGCCUCAGGCUCCCGAAUGCUGGAGCAGCAGGUCCACCACCACCCACCCAUCUGCCAGGCUUGCGAUGAGCUUUCAAUCGGAAAUGAGAAUGGAUGAAGAAAGCUUGAAGUGAGUUGUAUCUCCUGGCUGCCACCAUCAAGGAAGCGCAUAGAAAGGACACGCAAACCGUUGUAAAGAAAAGGGGAAUUCCUAAGAGUUGCAACCUUUGAUUCCGAUUUGGGUUUUUCUUUUGUCUUCUGUGUGGAUGCUGUCCACCUCACUCCAUCCACAGAGCCAUGCCGCUCUGCCAGUUUCCUACCAAUAUGGUGUGCAGCUUCAUAGUCAGUGAUGCAGUGUGUAUACGCAUUGGCACUUUGGAGUUGGCUGAAAAAAUGAAUAAUAAGCCAACUUUACUUCAGGUAAAUUGGUAAUAAUACAGUUUUAUAGUCAGUGAAAUUAUCAAUCACGUUUUACACAUCGAUCCACAUGAUAGGGAAACUGCCCUUUUUCUCUAUCUUUGCUUUGGUUUUGUUUGGCUAAUAUGUUAUUGUUGAUAACCAGCAGGGUCUUACCAGUUAGCGCUGGUUGGUCUAGAGCUCUCUAUGUAGACCACACUGGCCUUGAAUUCACAGAGACCGACUGCCUUGCCCGCCCAAGUGUUGGGAUUAAAGGAAACGACCUGACUUAGAUCUGUAUUUCAUUUUCUGAUUAGCAGUUUUAAUGUCAGGCAUUUAUUGGUUAAUUUUAUUAAAUACAGAAAUAUAGUUCUUUAAUAUAAAGCAUUUAUGUCAUCAAAAAUCAUGGAUCCACUAUUUUCCAGAAAUUCUAUAUUAGAAUUGUUAACAUACAGACCAUAAUAGUAAGAGAAAAAUCAUACCAGUUUUAAUGUUUUUUUUGCAUAUUGGUUAAGGAAAGUUAUUGUAAAGAAUGAGUUUCCCAGUGGCAUUUUACUAAUACAUAUUUAGCUGUCUUCCAAAUUUUAACAACCCGUCUUUCUCACCUUACUCUGCACUUCUUUAAAUACAUUAUAGCAAUUUAAAUUAUUCAGUGCUGUUUGCUAUUCUGCAAUUAAUUUUAUAGCUAAUAAUAUCUGUUUCACAUGCUUUUAAGAAGGAAUCUUAUUUAUGACAAAAAGCAAGACAAAGGAGAUUCUGUUGCCCCUGGAUACUGUCUAUUCAAUGGAAAGCAGUCAAGGCGUAACUAAUACACUCAAGAUCUCUGAGUGUUUCUGUUCAUGCCCCAUGCCACCAAAAGACAGGGUUUCAGGACUUCCCUAUCACACUGCCCACCUGUGACACUCAGACUGACUACUGUGAUGGAUACCCAAGAGAAAGACCUUAAGGGAGGAACUAAUUAUUUUGGAUCAAGGUUUUUCAAAUCCAAAGUCAUCUGUCUCCAUUACGUUGGUCCUGAUGGGAGGUGGAGUAUAGUGGUGGGAGGGGCAUGCUGCAGAGGAGCUCGUGCUUCUCACAGACAUUGAGAAGCAUACAGCCUUUAACCACUGUCUUUUGGGUUUGAUUCCGUAUUCUGACUUGUCCCGUUUUACAUCCCUUUCUUUGUGGUGGCUGGGGAGUAGCUAAGAUCAUUUGAGGAGCCCGUAAAGUGGAAGUUUAGUUUGUGAUAGACUCAGUCCAGGUUGUUGUACUAUUUUUUAUGUCCUUUGAUAUUGUAGGCUAUUCUGGUGAAGAAGUGGCCUGUGGGACAUAUUCAUGUGACUCAUUGUAUAGUUUCUAGUAAUCUAAGUGGGCCAAGCCACACCACAAUGUAAACGUUUCCCAUACAGGGGGAGAAGGGAAAGAGGAAUAGGACUGAGAGUGUAUCCAGCAAAAGUCAGAUUGACAUUGAUACUGUGUAUCAAGCGAUAACCAUUAGGUGAGGAAUAUGAGUGAUAUUGAUACUGUGUAUCAAGCAAUGGUCAUUAAACAUGUGAGACAUUUAGUAGUCCAGCUUCCCUACAUUACCCGAUGUGUUCCUGGUUAGAACACAGAUUAUAUAGGGCACUCCCAUAUACAGUGGGUGAAAUUAAAAUGUGCCGGGCCACAGUUGGAAAAGGAGCUGAAAGUGUAAAAGCUCUAAUAAUUAAAUUGAUUUAAGGGACAUUAAUUAAAUGAUAGUAAAAUGUGUAUCCAUUCAAUUAAAAUGUUGAAGAGUAACAUUUCUACAGUUGAUGCUAAAUACUCUAAUGGGGAUGGAACCCAGAGAGUUGUAAGCCAAUGAGAAUGAUAGACAUUGUUUUCUGCUUAGCUCCUCACGCACCUCCUCACUUGCCCAUUUAUAGACAACACUAUCACUGGCAUCUACUACAGGUAGCCUGUGUGUCAAGAAAUGUUUUAAGGCACGUGUCUUUAAUAAUAAUUUCAGUAUAAUCUCUAAUCAAGGGAUCCUUCAAAAAAUGAGUUUCCCCGCUCCUCCUUACCUUUGGAACUCGAUAGAACCAUAAAUCCAGCGAAGAUAAGAAAAUGUCUACUGGCUUUUCAAAGCAUAUUUUGUUAUUCGAUGAGCUUUUUCCACACAUUAAAUUACAUCCUGAUCUAGCCCUAAGAUCACCCCAUCAUUAAUUUAUGGAACUACACGUGUGUUGUCUAAAGCUGAUGGGGGUUAUAUGAGGGAUGUCACACAUUUCAAAGAGACACCUAGCUAAGCGUGUGAGGAGUGGUGACUUACUGUCGCUCCUAAUCUACAGCGCUCCAAGACAUUUGUGUGUACACUUCCAUUUAUUUCCACCCUUGAUGAACAGACCUUUAUUAAGCUGCAAUGAUUACUGAAUGUGAAAUGUAACCAAGAUUAUUUUUUAUUCAAAUAUAAUUUAAAUAUUCAUCAAAGCGAAGUCAUGCUUAAGACUGACAGAGACUAUUAACAUCAAAAAUUGUAAUUAACUGCAGUGGGUAUCAUGAAGUAGAGUUAGCCAAAUAGCCGAGAGGUCUAAUUGCUCUAGAGUUCGAGAAGCGAUGGUUUUAUUUUAUACUGUAUCUGAGGAAUUAAUAGUAAUGUGGUUUCCUAUGUGGGCCAAUUAAAAGCUGCCUGUUAAGGUUCAUUGCUCUAUAGGAAACCCAUUGACUAUCGCUUAGUAAACAGGAUUGACACGCCAGUGUAUACCAGAAGAUAAAAUAGAAUAGAAACCAUGAAAAUGAGAUCUACUGAAAAUGCUUCCUAGACCCGCAUCCUGUCAGAGAGCUAGAGAGGGGUCUGUGCGUCUUCCCAGCCCUUGUCUGGACCUCUUCCUCCGGUACCCACAGCUUUGGCCUGGGGGAAGAUUCAUGGCUCUGCCCUCACAGAACCUGCCUGGGAUUUGGGGACUAUAAUCCUUCUCCUAUAAGGAGGCUGGUGUUUAGUGGCAGAGGAUAGAGCUGAGGUUGGCCAUCAGCUUCCCUCAGGGCCACCCCCCAACUCCUCAGCUAGAUAGCUUCAUCUUCCAGAACUUUAGCCUCUCAGGCUGUUCAGACCUGCUUCUGGCUAGAUUCCCCAAGAGAAUUUAGAGUUCUCCUCCCAGCAAGCCUCUUAGAUACCACAUCCUGGGUUGCCCAACCAAAGGACAGUGCUAAUAUUAAAUAUAAGACAAACCCAAUAAGGAUAUUAGUUAUAUAUGUUUUAAGGAUGGCCGUUAAAUUUUAAAACUAAGCAUUUCAAAGCGAAAGACAAAGAGAAAACUGCCCAGUUCAAGUCUAAAAAUGAACUUUUCCCCAUCUUUGCCAUGCCAUCCCUUUUCGAUAAUGAAAGUAGUAUUUUGACCUUUGUGUCUCCCCUAAGCUUUUUAGCCGCUUACAAAAAGAAACCACUCCCGAUUGAACCCAGAUGAUUCUGCCCUGGUGAGACUAUGGGGAUUCAAGGGUUGUCAGGCAUCCUAAUGGUAUUUUGACAUUAGUGACAUUGCUAACAUAGAAACGUCUAAUGGUCAAGAUGAGAGUAAGGUCUCCCAGCGUUUCUUUUCCUUAACAAUUCUGAAUCAAAAGUGCUUAAUACAUUGGCCACAAUUUCUACUAUAAAAUACAUAAUGGGAGAAUACUACUUCUAGCUAUCAUGAAGCUUGUUUAUUGUUUUAAUCUUUUUGGUCCUUCCUUCCUUCCUUCCUUCCUUCCUUCCUUCCUUCCUUCCUUCCUUCCUUCCUUCUGUCUGUCAUCUGAAGUGACAGAAGUCUUGUGAAGGCACUGCUGCUCUUCUAGAUGGCAGUGCUGUUAGCUUUCUGAGGUGCCCUGUUGAUUGUUUCAGAGCGUAUGGCCCUUUGCUUGUCCCCUCCCCGAGCACGAGGGUAGUGGUGCUUAAAGCUCUUAAGGUCCCCACAAACUGGGCCUCCUACACAAGUUACUUAUAGAGAAGUAAUUCAAGCUGUAAGUAUGUUAUUAAAUGGAAGCCUUCUGCCUUCACUAACCUUUAAAACAGUCUAAAUUAUCAGUACAUAUUAUAAAACAGCCAGAUCCAAAAGUAGUGUAUCUCAGGGUUCUGGAGCCAGGUUUAACUUUGGAAGAUUCUGUUUGUCCAGGCGUCACUAGUGUGCACUAUCAAAUGCUCGCUAUGUUCUGAUAUACUGCACACCCUAACAUGUCAGCCAAAGACAUCCACAAACAGCUGACCAGAACAUACGUUUGCAAGAAAACUGACGGGCGUGUGGGGUUAAGUUGAGAAAAGGUAAAGUUGCAGGUACAGCACAUGGCAGAGAUACUCUUCAAACCGUCGCCAACCACUCAGAUGAAGGCAGAACUGAUCCGUCAGAUCUCCAGGGUGGUGCAGCACUCCUCCAGACAUGGAUGGAGGAGAGACAGUGGCCAGAGGAACCUACAUGGAGCACGGGUACACUGAAGUCUGUGAGCAGUCCCCUGAUCCUUCCUGCUUCUCAGCGAUGUCCCCUACCACCUUCUUUGCAGCACUGUAAUUUUCUGCAUUGCCCGUUAUCUGAGGAGCAAGGGUCUUUCAAAUAUCUCUUUCCUUUCAUCCCUAAAAGAAGGGUGCAAUCAUUGUGUGAGUGCACACAUAGAGAAGUAGAUUGGAUACACUUAAUGCACGUGCAUGCACACACACAUACACACAGAUAGAUGAUAGAUAGAUAGAUAGAUAGAUAGAUAGAUAGAUAGAUAGAUAGAUGAUAGAUACAGAUAGGCGGGCACUUGUAUUAACUCCAAAGCUACCAGGGUUCAUUCUUUUGUAGCUGGGAACAGUAAUAUACAAUCCCACAUGCACCUUGUUAGUUCUUCUAGAUAUUGUUUGCACAUGGUUAUUUCGGGGUAUUAUUAUCUCUGUAACUGCUGACUCUUCUGUCCUGUCCGUCUGUCUACCUUUCUCUUUACCCCCUCUCAUCUUUCUAAGACUCUGUGACAGAGACGCAGCAGAAGGAUGCUUGCUUCCCUUAGUGCUGCAUACCUACUCUUAGGAGAGCUCUCUGGGUAACAGGCUGCAGAACGAGUGCACAUGGGUUGUGUUCAGUUAUCGAGAACGCCAUCAGCAAUGCCUUGUUGCUUUCUUAUCAGCCACUUCCUGCUGUCGGCUUGGCACUUAUUUCAAUAGGAAAGGAUUUGCAUCCAGUGUGGUGCCUUAUUAUAUGCAGCGAACACAGGGUUUUUAAUUGUGCAAACACACGAGACUCCUGCGGUGGUAGUCAAUUUGAUAAAAGGAUUAGAUUAUGAAUAUUUUGUCCUGAUUAAAUAUUACUCCCGAUUUGUCAGAGGUAAGCCAGUGGAAUUUGUCGUCUAUCUAUCAGUCAGAUGAGACUCCAUUAAAUUUAAGUGUGAAUCACAAAGUACCCAUCUCUUCAUAUCGUCACUUAAGGGUUUGAUGUUUAUUCAGAUGAUGGUGUAAAGGAUUGUUUGGGGCCUUCUUCCCAGCUCAUCUAACUUUCUGCCAGUAACCCCAAGGGUCUGUGUUUUCAGAUUUGGCCUAGGUCGCUUUUAAUCUUCAGGUAAACGUCUAUAUCUAUCUAAAAUUUCUGCAGCUAAUGGCUGACAUGUAUCUUAAACCAAUUUAAGUUUUUCAAUCCUUAACUAAGGAAAAAGAUGAAACAAAGUAAGAAACCCGUUAAGGAAGCGCUCAUUCAGUGAAUACCUCUUGGUAAAAAUAGUUCUAAGCAGGACUGGAGAGAUGGCUCAGCCACUAGGAACCCUUGCUGCUCUUCCAGAGGUCCUAGGUCGUUUCACAACACCCACGCGGCGGCUCACAGCUGUUUCUCACCCCUGAUCUAGGGGAUCUGAUACCUCCAGGUAGACAUACAUAUAGGCAACAUGGCGACACACAUGAGGUAAAAGUAAUAAAUAAAUUUUAAAAAGAUCUGAGCCUCAUGGAAAUUUAUAAGAUGCCUUAGAUCUAUCCGGGGAGAGGGGAAACCAAGGCUCCAGGGUCCACUAAAAUCAUACAAUAAAGAAGAAAAUGCUGAGUGUUUGAGAGGUGAGUGCCUCUAAACGAGUAGACACGAAGUUUACAGUUCUGUGCUAGACAUUAGCAAAUUCUGUGCAUCUAAGAUACCGAACACUGGGCACAAAGCGCAAUGUGAAUGAUUUACUAAUAAAUGACCUGACACUUGGAGAUGGAGUCCAAGAAAACAGAGAAAGAUCUCUUUGGGUUUUAGUUCCGGGGAAGAACUUAAUACUUAUGGCCGGUGUGGUUUCCACUGGCUUUUCCCAUCCACACCUUAUCUUUGGUCAUGGGAUGCUUUGUUCCAUGCCCAACAGGAAACAGUUCCGCGGGCAGAGAUCUGGGACGAGCAAUGUAAAUCGGAGUGUACUUAGAGUCCAGCACGGUCAUCGAACGUGGAAAAGGCUCACGUGUUGAGAUUGUGGGAAGAGGUCCCCUGUCCACUUUCACGUUGAGUGUCUGUAGGAGUGGGUAUCAUUUGAUCACAAGCGUAGAUUCUCAGUUGACAAAACCGCAAGGUGGACCUCCCCUGCAGCAGGCGCGAGCCUAGGUGUCCUGUCUCUUUCUGGUGCAGUGACAGUGAGGAGAGAGCCAUUCCUGGCCUCCUGACGGGUAGUCAUAAGGGGGAAGCUUAGUAAGUUGCUUUCUCAGAACUCUUCACCUCUUUCAGAUCAGUACACAUUCGUAAACCGGGACAAGUAUUUUCCUGCCAAACCUUUUCAAAGCUGCAGGAAGUAAGCGAAGGGCCCGCAAAUGUGUGUUUCGAUAAGUAAGUUUGGUGAAGAAAUGUCAUGAUCUAGAACCGAGUUUGAAUGAACAGAAGUGCUUUUUGGACACUUGGUAAAAACCUAGGGUGUUAGAAGCAUUUUAGCAAAAGAGGAGAAAUUUUUAACAGAGUUACAUAUUUUUUUUUUAAGUUUUGUGCACAGCUGCAUUUCCAAAAGCGUCCGCAAUUUCUUUCUGAGCAUGCAAUGGUAUUCGCGUGCGAUGUCUGUCCAGCAUUUGCUGCAGCGUUUGAUGCAAAUGCGACCUGUCGAAGCAGGAACUAUUCAUAUCAGUUAUCAAUUAGUCUGGGAAAUCGUCUUACGGUCAUUAGAAUACUGACUAAAUGACAGUCUAUCUAAAUAAAGAGUCAGGGGGAAAAAGCACCUCAAUGGUGUAAUUUUCCUGUUUAUCAACUUGUAUUCCAGCCUGGGGAGCCAUCUUUAACCUGACUUUAAACAGCGCCACAUGCUGUCCCUGACUCUGUCUUGCCCUCCAAACCUCCUUUCCAUCCCAGCUCCUUAGCUUUAUUUCAGGCUCCAGUCCUCCAAGCGGGUAAUUAAGGGACCAGCAGAGCCAUUUGUGGCAAAGAAGAGUCAUAAGGGUGAAAAUAUUUCUUCGCUGAAUGAUCUUUCAGAAGUAAAUAAUUACAGAGGAAAAAGAUUUGGGAAGAGCAAUCUAAAUCUGAGGGUAAUUAGACAGAGUGGGUAUGGAAAUCGAAGCGCCUGGCAUGUACAAUUCUCACAUCAGAACAAAACUAAUUAAAUAUUUAGAAACCAAAAUCCCCUCACAAUUUGAAGAAAAAUAACCCAGGACAAAAGGGUCCGUAACUUUGCAGAUAAUUAGCAAGGGGUAUAGCAGAGGAAGGCAUCACAGAGCGGCCCUGCAGCUCCACAAGGUCACAUCCUGUUAUGCCGCGUCGCUUAUGCAGUCUGGUAACAAGUCUGCUGCUAAUCUCAUCUAACUAGGGCAUCCCAUAGUGACUUCCCAUUUCCCUUGUUAAAAGUGUGACAGCUAUGCAAGUGCAAACUGUAGCAGGUUGCCACACUGUUACUUUUUACAGGUGGUAUUCUUUUUUUAAUUAUUAAAGCAUGUCUGGAGAAUUUAGGUACAAUAUAUAUAAUAUAUAUAUUAUAUAAUUAUUGAUUUUUGUCCCCACUAAAUGCUCUUAUUCUUGUCAUUAAAUAGUUAGACCUCAUGACCUUAUGAAUGAAGCAGUCUCAAUGGCGUGCUUUGUACAUAAAUACCUCUGAUUUUGCUAAUAAAAGCAAGUGCGUUUGUGUUGAAUGUGCAUUUCUGCAAACAAGGAAUUUUACUUUGGAUUAAUAAGGCUCAGAGUGAGUCAAACCUCAUUUGCAUUAAACUGACCCCAAGGUCCAGUAAAAACUGCAAGGAGUUUCACUGGUUUCUAAAACACACACACACACACACACACACACAUACACACACACACACACACACACACACACACACACACACACACACACACACAAGUUGUUUUUAGCACAGCAUCACCACUUCAAGAUGUUUGAUUUAAUAAUUCAUGUGGAAUUUCAAGGUAAUUUUGGCAGUCCGCAGGAUACAGGUCAUGCAUGUGUUUUAGGAUCCAUAUACGUGGUGGCUGUAUUUUCUGGUGUAGUCGUUUACGGAGAUAUAAACUCUGCAUGGAUGCCAUUACUGUUCACGUUAUUCCUGUUUUCAGUAUCUACCACAAAUGGUAGCAGUGGACUUAAAUAGGACUUUGCUGUUAGACACUGGUUAAUUCACCCAGAACUAUUUGGAAGGGGCCUUUUUCUGCUUUUCUUCCACACAACAUUCUUUGAUAGUCAAAUAUUACUUACACACACACACACACACACACACACACACACACACACACACACACACGUAUGCCUAGCACAAAGUUACACACUCGAGAUUUUUCUACAGUUGUCCACACAGCAGUUUCAAAGAUUUACUCACCACAACCCUGGAAAACCAGGAUUACAUUAAAUUUUUUUAUAACAUGAUUGAUAUAUAUAUAUAUUCAUAUAUAUAUAUAUAUAUUCAUAUAUAUAUGGUCAAGUGGGAUACAAUUUGAACUACUUCGUUUUUCCAGAUUAUUUCUCUGCCUAUGGCAAACCUUCAUAUUCUGGCUUCUGGCACAGAAGCGGCUCUUAUGUUUGAAACGCAUUCAAUAAGACAUCGCCCUUUAAUUCAUCUAUGUAGUAGCCUAGCAUGCCUAAGGAAUGAAGUUCUGUGUGGUAGAACUCGUCUAGAUGGGGCAGAUUUGCAAAGUGAAUCAUGAAGGCUUGGUUCCCUGGCAUCUGAGACUGUGCCAUAGAACACCUCCCUUUUGCCAUGAUCAUGCCACAUCAAUUAACUCCCUGAGGUCGUGUUUACCUAGCAAUUCGUUAAGCUUUCAUAUCCUCACUGAUAAAUACUUAAAGAAAGCAGGAUCUGUCUCCAUAACUCUGCGAAAGUUUGGAUGAUAGAAAGACAUUUCGUUGUAAGCUGUAUUUUAGAAGAGAGAUGCUUGGCUGGGUGCUCCCGACAUGGGAGAAUGACUAUCCACGAGUCUUGGGUAUCAUCAUUGUCUCCCUUUCUUGCCUGACUUGAGUACUUUGGUUUGUGCACAUCUCUUUGCAUUGACUCUUACUGCUCCUGGAGUCAUACAGCAUGCUGUGUGUGGAACAUUUUAUUCUCAGUCUGUACUAGGAGGGUUAAGUGUAGGGGUGACAGAUCCAGACCAUUCGAAAUGUUGGCAUAUGGGAGCGCCAUUGAAAAUAAAGGGUACUUCCCCCAGCAAAUAAAUCGCCCAUGUAUUGUUUUCUUUCAUGAUACAAAAAUUUGUCCAAAUUGACAGAAUUCUAUCAGAAGAACCAGGCUAGCCAUUUAUCACUGACUUCAUCCUUCAGAAACACAGAUUGAAUCCUUACAGGCUUGUCAUGUGUUCGCCUCCAACGAGCCUCUUAGAAGUCAGCAAGUUCUCUUUUCUUUUCCCUUCAUUUCUUUUUAGGGUUCUGUUCCUCAUGCCCUCCUUUUUGCUAAGAGGGCUCUGUAUUUCUUCUAGCCUGUGGACUUGAAUAAAAUGAAGUAGACCAAUUGACAUUAUUUAUUUGUUUUUCUCGUUACUUGAACCGGAGACAUUAAGGUUUCCCCUACCCCAUUGUUGAGAUCCGAGGUAAGAGAUUCGCCUGUGGGUGUUCUGUUCAUUCAUAACAUGCAGUUCACCACGGACCUGGCUUGGCUUGCCAUCAUGAGUGUUCUGUUCAUAGUUAGCCCUGUGCACAAGAUAACACCUCUUGGUAUCCCAACGCCUCACAAGUCGGUAUUUCUUCUGGAACUGCACGUUUUGAAGAUUGAAGGGAGCUGGCAAGGGAGGAGUGUGGAAAGAACAAGCCUAUUACUGCUCGUUUGUAGUAAUGGAAGUUUAAAAAUAGCAGAUGCCAAUUAGAGGAGGAAAUUGUGGAAGCAGUCUUCACUGAACACACGCGCUCGGUAAGGAGCUGGACUAAUUCCGCAGCCCCGUUUCAGAUUCAAGCGAACUCGAAUUUAGUUUCCUGUCUGGGUAAUACCGAGCGUCUCUGUCGAAUGUUGGGGAGUAUUUGUUCAAGUUGGUAGGUUUUGCAUUUUUAAUCUUCCUUAGAACUGUGGUGAAUAAUGGCCCCUGGCAGGAGAUAAUGAAAUUUUCUUAAUUUAUAUUUUCAAGUAGAAGCUUCAAUUGAAAAUGGCAUCCGAUGGCCUGGAGGCGUAGCUUGAGUACAAGUUCCAGGGGAGCUGCGGUAAUAAUGUGGUGCCGUCCGUGAUGGGGAGCGAUGGGACAGUGAAGAAGUCAUUUAAGGGAGAAAAGAAAAUGCACCAAAGCUUUAUUGUAGCAUAUCUAAUGAUCUGGGGAAGAUACCCAAUGGUUUUUGGAGCAUGACUGGAGAAGCUAAUGUUAUCUUGCCAAAACAGAAGCCUCUGCUUAAUCAGCAGAACGAGGUUAUUGAUUAGAACGCCUCUCACAAUAGAUUACACGUGGAAUCUCAUCUCCAUCCCUCGCACUUGGUAAAGGGUAGUAACGAGCAUAAGAUAACCAGAAGCGGAGGAAACACAAUCAGCCGGGCGUGGUACAGUUCAAGAUUAGAGUUGGACGGGAGGCAGGCUUGCGUGGUUUUAAAGGCACACGCAGGAACGCGUGCACACAGCGCAGGGAUGGCGCCAGAACAGGCGCGACUCUGACUUUGCAGCUCUGGGUCCGGUUUCUCGAAGGGUCAUUGUUCCCGAGGCUUUCCACCAUGUUGGGGAUUCCUCGUCAUCCAGGCGUUGCACAAAGUCCAUCUUCCUUAUCCAGUUGAAGCUUAUUGACAAUCUUCCAGGCAAGUCAGUGCAUUUUCUAGAUGAAAAGACUGAGCAGGGAUGGUCUAGUGCAGUGUUGCUGGACUCACAGACUGCAGGAUAGAACUGAGCCCUCAGUUCUCCGUCCUGUUGAAACCUGUUAUUUUGGCACUCAUUGUCCCACCGUAGCACAGCAUCCCAAUGGUUGCUCUGUUCUCUCUCAACACAAUUAUGAUUAAUAGCAUAUGAACCAGACGGUAGCUUGUCUCCCCCCCCCCAAUAAAAAGUUACAAUUAACAGUUAUUCACUUAUGCGAGACGUUUCCUGAGGGUCAGAGAAGACCAACCUGCCUUUGAACUCAGAAUCCUCCUGCCUCAGCUUUAACAGCUGAGAUUUCAGAGUUGUGCCGGGGCACACGUGUUAUCUUUCUAAGUGAUUUUGGUAUACUACUGUGUAAAUGAGUCUGCUUUCGUAAAGUACAUUUUCAUCAAGUCUUCUCGAGGUAGUUUAUUUAAUUUUGGAAGUUCUGUGGAUAUUUUUGAAAAUUCCUGUCAACAUUGGCUCCAUAUAGGGGUCCAGAUACGUGUUUUAAAUCCCUUUGCAAGCAACCUGAAGGUUGUGAGGGCAAAGAAAUCGGUGAGUUACUCAUCAGAAGACCUUGUAAUUUUUUUCUCUUAUCUAUUGGACAUGGGCCUGAGCAUUGACACCAAGUUUAAAUUUUUUCUCCAAUUUCUGAUGAUCAUGAAAAUAUCGAUACUCUCUUGUGAAUAUUUAGUGGUUUAAAUUAUCGGUUCUGGUAUGUAGGUUCGUUUCUCUGUUAGUUUUAGGGAGAAUGGCUCAUUAGCAUAAGGUAAAGGAGAGAGAGCUUGACGACACAUGGAGAAACAUCUGCAGGCCUACUGGUUUUUAAAAUUUAGGUCAUAAAGAUGAACCCUGGGCUUCCUUUCUUUCCUAUCACUACCUUUGGCUAAUACAGAAAGCUUAUAAUAACGGGCUUUUUAUGUGUGACACAACCUGCUUUGCCGUAUUUGAACCCACUUACAA